This 497-nucleotide ribosomal RNA is filed under the name uncultured bacterium. RNAcentral's name for it is "partial 16S ribosomal RNA". It matches the Rfam family "Bacterial small subunit ribosomal RNA", at positions 28 to 507 of the family's 1533-position model. The record is from RNAcentral.
GAUGAACGCUGGCGGCGUGCCUAAUACAUGCGAGUCGAGCGAACGGACGAGAAGCUUGCUUCUCUGAUGUUAGCGGCGGACGGGUGAGUAACACGUGGAUAACCUACCUAUAAGACUGGGAUAACUUCGGGAAACCGGAGCUAAUACCGGAUAAUAUUUUGAACCGCAUGGUUCAAAAGUGAAAGACGGUCUUGCUGUCACUUAUAGAUGGAUCCGCGCUGCAUUAGCUAGUUGGUAAGGUAACGGCUUACCAAGGCAACGAUGCAUAGCCGACCUGAGAGGGUGAUCGGCCACACUGGAACUGAGACACGGUCCAGACUCCUACGGGAGGCAGCAGUAGGGAAUCUUCCGCAAUGGGCGAAAGCCUGACGGAGCAACGCCGCGUGAGUGAUGAAGGUCUUCGGAUCGUAAAACUCUGUUAUUAGGGAAGAACAUAUGUGUAAGUAACUGUGCACAUCUUGACGGUACCUAAUCAGAGAGCCACGGCUAACUACGUG